UUAUCUGUAGGAUAGGCUUCUAAGUGUUUGAUCGUUUAAUCAGCUGGGGUAUGUCUGUGCACCCAAUAUGUGUGAUGUGUGGUAAUUUAACAGAAUCAAGAGACCACUUCUUUUUUGGAUGUAUCUUUGCUGCCAAGCGAUUAUGCGCAUAUCUGAUUAAGUGGAUGAAGAUCCCUGUCCACCCUACUAGUUCAUGGAAUCAACAUCAGCAGUGGCUUUUUCAAAGAAACGAAGGGAGAUCCAAGCAGACUAGAACGCUAAGGAUGAUAUAUGUUGAGUAUGUACUUGCCAUUUGGGGAGAACGAAACAACAACACUUUUGAGAACCUGGUGAAACAAUGGGAACCAAUUGGCAGAGAAAUCACGUACAUAUGUAACAUGAGGGCGGAAGAAAAUAUGAAGAUAUUGAUGCAAAGCCUCUUGUUGCCAGCUAAAUGUGUCUAGUUGUUACUCCAUAUUCUACUCUUCAACUCUUCAUGUAAUAGAAAGAAGUAUAAUGGUUGUGGUCGUAUAAAGCGAGACUAAUUUUGCAUAGCAGAUUGUGUUAGUCUGGCUAGUUUUGUAAUGCAUUCUUGAUAGUUAAUAAAGUUGUUAGUUACAAAAAAUAGCUUGCAAGACAUAAGAUAAUUGGUAAUAUCUUAUUAUGAGAACUUCAAUCAGUAAACUGUAUUUCAAAACAAACAAGCAACAGAGUACAGACAAUGAAAAACUAGCUCCAAUAUAUGACACUGCAGAGUUCCACUACUAUACAUGCCAUUCCUUCUAAACUUGUCAAUCAAAAUAUAAAGAAAAAAAAAAGCUUGCUAUUUCUUCUGAUUCCCUUAUUCUUCCUUAAUUAGUUAUUGUAUCAUCAGUUGCAUCUGACACUGUAUAAGGUCUAAGAUGAAUAUAUCUAAAUCAUCUGAAUUUUUUCCUUUAACUUUGACAACUAGAUGCGUGCAAAUUGACAAUUGAUGAGUGCCAAAGACACCAAUUGAUGAAUUUCAAACUGGAACGGGUAUCUUACCUUAUAACAAAGAAAUAGCAAGCCAAAAGUUCAAUUUCUAGCUCGAAUCACCGUCCUACCAACUUCCCCAAAGAAUUUGCACUACCAAAAAGAGGUUAUACAACUUCGCCAAACAAUUGCCAUCUCUAAAUCCAAUAAAUUCAAGGAACUUUGAAGCAACUUGAGUUUUUACAACCCAGACCAACCUCGGUACUACUUGAUUUGUGGAUAAAUCAAUCUCAAUGUCAUUCACUUCCUCAUUGAGAAUGGUUGCGGAAUCAAAGAUUUUGGUUGGCUUAGGAGCCUCUUCUUGAUCACAACAGAAUCUUUCUUGACCCAUUUAUCAUCUUACAAAACAUAUCCCAUGCUACCAAAGGAAUCAUCACUAUUCUUAUACACUCAAAUAUUAGCAUAAAAUACGAACAAGUUAUUCAUAGACCUCUAUUACAUAAAGUUUCAAUAGUAGACCAAGGUGUUGAGCCUAGAGAAAGGUACUUACCAGACAAUGGCUAUCCUUGAGUUGUCCCAGAUUGAUGAUUCGACCACCAACUUGUGAGCAUUUCUUAAGAGCAGGGUAUCUAUUCUUCUAUUCUACACUCUAGAAUAGGUGUAGAUCAACGAAAUUGAAAUCUGAGUCGUCACAAACUUCAUAUUUUUGGGAGAAGGGUUUUUGAUAGAUGGGUUUUUUGAGGGUUUUGGAGUUGCAUUUUGGGAUUCUUCUCAAUCGAAGCCCUACAAGACCUAGAGAGAGUGAGAGGAGAAAAUGAUUAUUGCGGCGGUAGUUGAAACGCUGUUCCCGAUGGUGGUCUCGUCGGUGACAAGCGGCCGUGGCAGCUACAUUUGAUUGUCCGCCGCCGGCGAUCAGUUCAUGGGGGGAGCGAGAAAGAGAGAGAAAGUGAAAGUGUAGGGAUUAGGGUUUUCUUUUUGGUUUAAAAGGAAAGAGGAAUAGGGUUUGA
RNAcentral lists this long non-coding RNA (1940 nucleotides) under Capsicum annuum. RNAcentral describes it as "long non-coding RNA (CANN_LNC011973)". Lineage: Eukaryota; Viridiplantae; Streptophyta; Magnoliopsida; Solanales; Solanaceae. The record is from RNAcentral.